Molecule: ribosomal RNA, 253 nt
Filed under: uncultured bacterium
Lineage: Bacteria
Description: partial 16S ribosomal RNA
Rfam family: Bacterial small subunit ribosomal RNA
Source: RNAcentral
GACGUAGGAGGCGAGCGUUGUCCGGAUUCAUUGGGCGUAAAGAGCACGCAGGCGGUUUGGCAAGUCGGACGUGAAAAUCCGGGGCUCAACCCCGGACCUGCAUCCGAAACUGCCCGACUAGAGGUAGGUAGGGGAGAUCGGAAUUCCUGGCGUAGCGGUGAAAUGCGCAGAUAUCAGGAGGAACACCGGUGGCGAAGGCGGAUCUCUGGGCCUUACCUGACGCUCAGGUGCGAAAGCUAGGGGAGCGAACAGG